GAGAUGUGGAUUAGUCCGUACGAGCGCACCUUGUCCUUAUUUGCCAGCACGUAAUGGUGGGAACUCUAAGGAGACUGCCGGUGACAAACCGGAGGAAGGUGGGGACGACGUCAAGUCAUCAUGGCCCUUAUGACCAGGGCUACACACGUGCUACAAUGGAGCGUACAGAGGGUCGCUAAGCCGCGAGGUGGAGCCAAUCCCAGAAAACGUUUCGUAGUCCGGAUCGAAGUCUGCAACUCGACUUCGUGAAGUCGGAAUCGCUAGUAAUCGCGAAUCAGCAUGUCGCGGUGAAUACGUUCCCGGGCCUUGUACACACCGCCCGUCACACCAUGGGAGUGGGUUGCAAAAGAAGUGGCUAGUCUAACCUUCGGGAGGACGGUCACCACUUUGUGAUUCAUGACUGGGGUGAAGUCGUAACAAGGUAGCCCUAGGGGAACCUGGGGCUGGAUCACCUCCUU
This 458-nucleotide ribosomal RNA is filed under the name uncultured Gammaproteobacteria bacterium. RNAcentral describes it as "bacterial SSU rRNA". It matches the Rfam family "Bacterial small subunit ribosomal RNA", at positions 1069 to 1532 of the family's 1533-position model. Lineage: Bacteria; Pseudomonadati; Pseudomonadota; Gammaproteobacteria. The record is from RNAcentral.